GUUACAUCUUUACCGUAUAACUGCAUGGAUGUCUUACUGGAAAAGUUGAUGUAACUCCUUUUCGAUAAGGGACAGCCCACCUCCGGUUUGCACACUCAGCCGCCCCCGCAUACACCUCCCCAUAUCUGGCAAAAAUAGUGAACCAGUGAACAGAAAGAAGACAAAAGAUCACAAGCAAAAAUCUGCCAGAAAAGGACUUUACAAAAUCUAGCAGAAAAAUGGAUCCCAGUAAGUCUUCAUAUGUGCCUCAAUCCAACUGGAAUUCAUCAGGGAAGCAGCCCGCACCACCACCAUACCAGGUCAACCCAGGAUACACUAACCCUGCAUAUUCUCAACAAGCGGGUUAUCCGAACCCUUCUGGAUAUCCUGCACAGCAAUACGGACCUCCGGGUGGUCAGCCAUGCGUACAGGCCCCUUAUCCAGGACAGUCUACGAUCACUGUACAGCCGACUGUUUAUGCGGGCCCCACUCCUCUGGCCCAUCCACUGCCAGAUUACCUGUGUUACUCUAUUUUUACCAUGCUUUGCUGCUGUUUACCUCUGGGCAUUGCUGCUCUGGUUUACUCCAUAUCUACUCGAAAUGCAAACAUGUCUGGACAUCAACACGAUGCACGGAAAAGCUCCAGAAUGGCGCGCAUCCUUAACCACUCUGCUCUUGGUAUCGGCAUCACCAUCCUUGUGUUGUACAUCAUCGCCAAAGUCUUUAACAAAAAUGGUUCACCAUAGAGGGCCCAAUGAGAGAUUUCCAAAUAUUAAUACCACAAACAAUGUUACAAAUAUUUUAUAAACACAUUUGAUAUUCUGCCUUUAAAUGUGUAAUGUAUACAGCUUUUUUACGCUUAACAUUAAGUGGUUCAGUUGAUGGGGCAUUAAGGAAUGAUUCAGCAUGUUUAUUGACUGACCAAUUUAUGUCCAGGCUUUUAUUAUCCACUGAAUUUAAACAAAUGCUUUGAAUGUUUCCUGCAUUUUAACAGAAUAUAAGCUUUGUGGUAAAAGUAUCAUAACAUUUGUUGUUUUUAAAUACAUAUUGUAUUAAAACUUCAGGUGACCAAAAUGUUCUCACUGAAUAUAACCACAUAGCUGGUUUAUUUUAUAGUCUCCUGUUGUACUGUCCUGUCCCAAACAUAUAUAGAAUUCUGUAUAGAUCAAUUCAUUUAUCCUUAUUCAUGUUUUUUAAAGAAAAUAAAUACGGUAAUCGUCA
Molecule: RNA transcript, 1200 nt
Organism: Misgurnus anguillicaudatus (oriental weatherfish)
Lineage: Eukaryota; Metazoa; Chordata; Actinopteri; Cypriniformes; Cobitidae
Source: RefSeq, a predicted model, not a curated record